RNAcentral lists this ribosomal RNA (252 nucleotides) under uncultured Bacteroidales bacterium. Its description in RNAcentral is "partial 16S ribosomal RNA". It matches the Rfam family "Bacterial small subunit ribosomal RNA", at positions 524 to 776 of the family's 1533-position model. Lineage: Bacteria; Pseudomonadati; Bacteroidota; Bacteroidia; Bacteroidales. The record is from RNAcentral.
UACGGAGGAUGCGAGCGUUAUCCGGAUUUAUUGGGUUUAAAGGGUGCGUAGGUUGUUUUUUAAGUCAGCGGUAAAAGCCCGGGGCUCAACCCCGGCGAGCCGUUGAAACUGGCUGUCUUGAGAUGUCGAGAGGUAUGCGGAAUGCGCAGUGUAGCGGUGAAAUGCUUAGAUAUUGCGCAGAACUCCGAUUGCGAAGGCAGCAUGCCGGCUCCACACUGACGCUGAGGCACGAAAGCGUGGGGAUCGAACAGG